GCUGAUGUGCAAAAACUAUAAUGCUCAUCUGGCUGAAAUUACCAGCGAAGCCGAAAAUAAGUUCGUGACCAAGUUUGUCAGCGACCUAAACCAUGACUUCUGGAUCGGAGCCGCAGAUGUCUUAAUCGAAGGUCAGUGGGUGUGGUAUAACAGCCAUUAUAUAAUUAAUAACUCCACCUAUUCGAACUGGGCUGCAAACGGAUUGGAUGAUGCAAACGGUAACGAAAAUUGUGCGCAAAUUGGACCAACUGGAGAAUGGCAUGAUGCGCAAUGUGACCAAUCGCAUUACUUCAUGUGUGGACGAAGCACCGACCACAGUGGUGAAGUAUUUGGAUAGGAAGAAGUCUUUUGAAGUGAAAUUGCUGCUGUGAAAUAAAGUCUAAAAUAGCA
This is a long non-coding RNA of Mercenaria mercenaria, 390 nucleotides long. RefSeq lists it as uncharacterized. The record is from RefSeq and is a predicted model, not a curated record. The transcript is spliced from 3 exons. NCBI's taxonomy places the organism in Eukaryota, Metazoa, Mollusca, Bivalvia, Venerida, Veneridae.